GCUCGGACGGUUUAUCGCGAAAUUUUAGUAUCCAAUGUGACGAGCAAAUGCGAACGAUUAGAUGCCAUUUAAAUGUGUAACGGUCGAACCAAUCUCGGCGUGUAGCUUCGUGAAUCUCGAGAUCGCAAUAGCACAAAAAGGCCCCGGAGGGAUUCGAACCCUCGAUCUCCUGUUUACUAGACAGGCGCUUUAACCAACUAAGCCACGGCGCCGUUGAAGGACACAAAAGUAACGUAGUAAAGUGGUUACGAUCGUUCGAUUUUCUCUCCUGGUGUUUCAAGAGAAUCUUAAGGUUCUCACACAUCGGAUUUCUUAUACGCGAAUUAGUUCCCAUCUCCCAUGUCGUGUUCCCAAUUCUCGAGUCUUGACGAAGGUACAUUGCCGAGGAAAGAUGUCGGACAGUGAUUCACCGGGACGCUCGGGCGCACAGGGGCGAGUCGUUCGUUUUCGCGGGGGACAAUCGAAGUUCCGGCGAAGUUAAUCAAUCGAUCCGGAAGACCCGUGAGAAUCGGGCAGGGAGUGGGCAGCCGGCGGCUGCCCGUAUUUGAUUGUUUAAUUAGCAAGAUGACCCGGUCGUACCCCAGCGGGGAUUCUCGAAGGAGCUCGAGUUAGACGGGAAGCAGCAUCGAGGAGGAAAAGGUGGAGUGACACAGGGAGACAGAGAAUGCAAGGGAGAAAGAGAAAGAGGGAAAGAGACAUAGAGAGAACGCGCACGAAACGAGCACGUUGAGGAACGGCAGAGGGUGCGAGAAACCGAAGACAUCGGAAGGAGAUAUAACCAGAGCGAGUCAGCCGAAGACUGUCGCUGAGAACGGGGAGGCGAGAGGAGGAUGUGUGCUCCCGAGGAGAGAUACAGUGGAACUCUGGCGAGAGGUAGGAUGGAGUAGGGAGGAGGAGGACGACGGGGCUGGAUUUCUGGUGUAUAGGGGUAUUAAUCCCUACCCUCAAUUACCCUUUGUCUUGGGCGCAGCUUGGUCCACUUGUUAAGACACCGCCACUGUUUGUCUUGAGGAGCAGAUUUCGACGCGUCGGUGACUCCGGAAGUCCAGAGUGGUUCAAUCGUUUCGCCGUGAUGUCAGAUCCAUAAUAGGGGCGACGCACAAAGGGAUGCUGAAACGCCAAUCGUAACGAUUUACGAAACGAUAACGUUUCAAGGAAGAUUUACGUCGCGGUGAGGGGACGACGUUUACUCAGCGCAACCGAUGGAACAAGCUUGCAGCCUCAUGCAUCGCGGUACUUGCGUUGCGUUGAUUAAAAAAAAAGGGAUACCGGCCGCCCGUCUUCAGCGACUAAUACUACUUAAUCGCUGCUCCCUUCCGGUGUCAUCGGCCGCGUUCGAGCGGGGGAUCACCAACAUCGUUCUGCCCGAGGCGUGUUCGAUGAGCGAGUUCAAUCAAGAAUAUCGAAUAGGAUAUCGAACCACAAAAAGACUAUGGAAAGAAAUCCGCAAAACCCAGGUACCGCGAACCGGAGCCGCUCUCUCAUCGAUCGUGAAUUUCGAUCACGAUCACAGGGGUCGAGCUCGGACUGCAUUGCGAAAGCCGCUACGCAAGUUGCCACGCCACGCCAUCAAAAACCGAUCGGUCGGUGACGCGGUGCCUUAAGACGCAUCAUAAUUAUCAUGGAUCCUCCCCGCUUGCGCUCCCCGUCCUGGCGAUCUUCUCCGCGCGGGUGGAAUACGAAGCAGCCGGCUUUCCCUGUAUCAGGUACGAACGUUUCUAUUUAUGGCCGCCGGCUCCCGGGCCCCCGACGAGUUAUGAUAUUGUUUCGGCCGGUUCUCGGAAUCUACGCGAUCGGUGACUCGGAUAAACCGCGAAUGAGAAAGAGAGGAAAAGAAGAAACGAAGUCGCGCCGAUGAGGUGAGAGAGCGACCGCCUGGUACCUCGUCUCGGUGCGCACUGCGAGCGAACGAGAGAAAAGAGAGGAGAGGUACCAAGGCGGGGAGCAGGGGGGCGAGAACCAGGGAGAGGCGUAUAAUUUUAUUUCUUCAUCACCGUCGUGCAACGCGCCUAUCUUUUAUGAUCGCCUCUGACCGCUUCAUUAGUUUCGCCAACUUUCCGAAGGUCCCGAAACGCGGCCUGCUGUCCUUCGCUUGCGUCAUUCACGCUGUUAAUCAUUGAUAAAUGCACGAUCAUCAGACGUUGAUUCACAAAAAUGCUGCAUGAUAAGAAAGGAUGCUGCUGAAUUCGAUUUAAGAAAUCGAAUCGCUCUCACGUAACUCAACCAACUACCGUUACGACGAUCAAUUGGCUGCGACUAUGCACUAGGACCACAUUGUCAGUCAAAUCGGUGAAACUUCGCAGCCGUGCAGCGAGUUGCAUGCUGGAGCAUGGUCGUUGAUACGCUAAACAGGCUUUCCCUGUCGAGGAACUCGCGUUACCGUACCGCAGACCUCCGAUCUGGAACUCUUUUCGUCUGACGCGCAGUCACAUAAGAGAGCAGAACAGAGAGAGAGAGAGAGAGAGAGAGAGAGAGAGAGAGAGAGAGAGGGUGGAGAGAGAGGAAGGGGAAAGUUGACCCUCUCGAGAGUUGGCCGAGGUUAGUUAUGGAGCCGACGGUCCCUGCGCGCGGUUACAAAAGUAUUUGAAUGGCUGUCGGCCCUUGUAAGCCGUCAAAAAGUCAAAGGGAAACCACUAAAAUCAGUUAGGGAUCUCAACUAUGCGCGGGAGCGAGUGCGAGUGAGCGCGAUGAUGGUCCACGCGCGCGCGCGAGUAAGACAAGAACGGCUUCUCCGCGAGGAGAGAGAGAUGCACUCGGUGCACGAGAAGCGGAAAAAGGAUGAGGAGAGAGAAGAGGACACGAGCCCGUGUGGGAAGAUGGGGAGUUUAUGGAAAUUUCUCUUCGGAGACCGUUAUGCACGUCUCGCCUAUUUCCGUGACCGAACGCUUAUUGGUCACAUUUUGUCCUUGAGACAAUAGUCCCUCGUUCUUUACGGGCGCGCCGAUAUCUCAGUUAAAGAAUUAUAGCCGGGAAGUCGGCCUGGAACACUUUGGAACGUGGAGAACGUGGCGCGACACCGGUCUCUCGACGUACAAAGAACGGAUUUAUGGCGGAGCAAGCUGCGAGCGAAAAAUCGUUUGUAAAUACACGCUAAUGCGCCAAUUAAUUCCCGUCCCGUGACGAUAGAGGAGGAAGCUGAUCAAAUUUUCGUCGUUUGUAUACUGACACAAAGGCGCAAUGCACGCAUGUACGUGCAUGCGGGAGAUUAAAACCUGACGCGUGGCCGAGUAACGCGCGCAACGACCGGUAACGUUUGAAAAGAGCCGCGAACGAGGGUGAGCGUGUUCGGCGUUUCGCCAA
Molecule: long non-coding RNA, 3300 nt
Organism: Ooceraea biroi (clonal raider ant)
Lineage: Eukaryota; Metazoa; Arthropoda; Insecta; Hymenoptera; Formicidae
Source: RefSeq, a predicted model, not a curated record